Molecule: long non-coding RNA, 492 nt
Organism: Notothenia coriiceps (black rockcod)
Lineage: Eukaryota; Metazoa; Chordata; Actinopteri; Perciformes; Nototheniidae
Exons: 2
Source: RefSeq, a predicted model, not a curated record
GGACCUGACAGAUUGGUGAAAUGUCACUGGAUUUGUCUCUUGUUAAGAAAAAUGUUGUAAGACCAACAUUUGCAUGUCUUCUCAAAAAGUGACUUCUGUCACAAUCCUCGCUGAAUUUGUUAAUUUGAUCUUGUCUGUUUCCUCUCUCUCAACAGGAAAGUCGAGCUUUUAUGACUUUUGCUAUUGACAGCAAGGAACAAAGAGUGAUGAUGUCAUACACCAAGGGAUCAUUUUCAGUUCAUGAGCUGCAGCAGUGUAUAGCAGUCAGCCAGAAAGCCUCAGAGAACAUCUUCCAGUUCUACAGAGACUCCGUCAGGAGGCGCUACUCCAAACACCUCUGAUGUAGCAGCAGCUCCAUUUUUCCUUUUUAAAAUAAAUAUAAAUGCUGAUGUUAUAAAAUAAAAUAUUCUUGAUUUUGUGAGUUUGGAUAUUUUGUGAGAUCUCCCUAUGUAGAAGUCAGGGCAAAAGAAUAAAGCAAAGAUGAAUGUCAAA